CAGGACGAACGCUGGCGGCGUGCCUAAUACAUGCAAGUCGAACGAACUCUGGUAUUGAUUGGUGCUUGCAUCAUGAUUUACAUUUGAGUGAGUGGCGAACUGGUGAGUAACACGUGGGAAACCUGCCCAGAAGCGGGGGAUAACACCUGGAAACAGAUGCUAAUACCGCAUAACAACUUGGACCGCAUGGUCCNAGUUUGAAAGAUGGCUUCGGCUAUCACUUUUGGAUGGUCCCGCGGCGUAUUAGCUAGAUGGUGNGGUAACGGCUCACCAUGGCAAUGAUACGUAGCCGACCUGAGAGGGUAAUCGGCCACAUUGGGACUGAGACACGGCCCAAACUCCUACGGGAGGCAGCAGUAGGGAAUCUUCCACAAUGGACGAAAGUCUGAUGGAGCAACGCCGCGUGAGUGAAGAAGGGUUUCGGCUCGUAAAACUCUGUUGUUAAAGAAGAACAUAUCUGAGAGUAACUGUUCAGGUAUUGACGGUAUUUAACCAGAAAGCCACGGCUAACUACG
This 515-nucleotide ribosomal RNA is filed under the name Lactiplantibacillus plantarum. RNAcentral describes it as "bacterial SSU rRNA". It matches the Rfam family "Bacterial small subunit ribosomal RNA", at positions 25 to 505 of the family's 1533-position model. Lineage: Bacteria; Bacillati; Bacillota; Bacilli; Lactobacillales; Lactobacillaceae. The record is from RNAcentral.